UGGGGCAUCUUGGACAAUGGGGGAAACCCUGAUCCAGCGACGCCGCGUGACCGAUGAAGGCCCUCGGGUCGUAAAGGUCUUUCGGAGGGGAUUAUAGUGAAGGUACCCUGAGAAGCACGAGCGGCUAACUACGUGCGAGCAGCCGCGGUAAUACGUAGGCUCCAAGCGUUGUUCGGAAUUACUGGGCGUAAAGCGAGUGUAGGCGGUCCGCCAAGUCAGCUGUGAAAUCUCCCGGCUCAACCGGGAGGGUGCGGCUGAAACUGACUGACUCGAGUCCGGGAGAGGAGAGUGGAAUUCCUGGUGUAGCGGUGAAAUGCGUAGAUAUCAGGAGGAACAUCGGUGGUGAAGACGGCUCUCUGGACCGGUACUGACGCUGAGACUCGAAAGCGUGGGGAGCAAACAGGAUUAGA
Molecule: ribosomal RNA, 410 nt
Filed under: uncultured prokaryote
Description: bacterial SSU rRNA
Rfam family: Bacterial small subunit ribosomal RNA
Source: RNAcentral